AGCCCCGAGGUGUACGUACAUGUAAGAUUGCAAAUCUUAAGUGGCUGAUUAGUGUCGGCCGGGGCUU
RNAcentral lists this transfer RNA (67 nucleotides) under Tridentiger bifasciatus (Shimofuri goby). RNAcentral's name for it is "tRNA-Cys". The record is from RNAcentral. Lineage: Eukaryota; Metazoa; Chordata; Actinopteri; Gobiiformes; Gobiidae.